AGAUGUCUGGAAGAAACUCUCCCACAGACAUCGUCUUUCGAGUAAUAAAUCAUUUAUUAAUUAAAAAAAUGAGAAAAUAUUUUAUGACUCUGCUUAAAUUUAUCUGACUUAUGACAUACAGUGAUUUCAGAGUGAAGGAAUUUGGAUUUCAUGUGAAGGAGGGAAUGAAAGAGUUGCAGAAAUGCAGCUUGAAGUCAACUUCCUUAUGAAGUGUCGAAACUACCUUGUAUCCGCCAGGAGAGGGAGCCUGGCAAGAAGAGCCGAAGCUAACCUGUCUCACAUCAGGUGUUAGAUGUUACAGCGGUAGAAAUUCGAAUUUCCACCCGUUUCAGUAGUUUUAUGGCAUGAAACAGGGUCUUGGAGAAAGACAGAGUUACUCAGCUACAGGGAUGGACAAAAGAAUAAAUGGAUCCCCAGCCUCCUGCGUGCCAGCCCACUGCUCCAUUGACUGCAGCAAACUCUUUGUUGAUAGGUGCAGAAUGGCACAGAAAACGAUGACACGUCAGAAAUGCCCAUUUGGGGGAUGAUUUUAGUCUUUAUUAUUCAGUGACAAAGGACAGGCUGAAUACCUCUCUCUGUUGGGCAGUGAAUGUGGGGUGAGUGGACCUUUCUUCUUGUUACUGCCAUGAGCUCCACAAUGCUACUUGGCAUUCCCCAUCCUUGUCAUUAUUCAGUGGAUGGCAAAAUAGACUUGCUGACUUCUGGACUGACCUACUAGGCUUUAUGUUUUAUUGAUGCCCUAUGCUUUUCAUGACUUCAGAAUUCUCCAUUUGCUUUAAUUAGUUGAACCUGAGUUCACAAACUCAGAGACCUUUUGAAACAUUUGGCAGGCGGCAUGAACGUGUCACAGCAAAAGCCUGUGAAGUGCACAAUAUAAUCCAUGUUGAAAACACAGGUGCGUUUUACAGAAACCUUUUUUAGUCUUGAAUAUUGAAGAGAAAAGGAUGUGAGAAAAAAGUCUGCCUACUUCUCUGUCAAAUAUUCCAAAGGAAACUCAGGGUAAGCUUUGCCACCUAACAAAGCUUUCAUUGAACUUUCAUUGAUUUAAAUCAGAAUGGAAGUAGUCCAGGUAUCAAAAAUCUCUGCCCGACUAGCAAAUUUCUUGGUGUCUUGUCCAAAGUACAUACAGCAAUGUCUCUGUUACUCCCCCUGUUUGGUCCAGAGAGGUCAAUAUGCUACACAGGAUAUGGACAUACAAUGAAAAGCAGAUGAGUUCCCAUGGCACACAAGCUGCUGUCUGCCCACUGCACACUGCCUCUGUACAGGGACACGCUCACUAUAGGUCGCGUGCUUGCCAUAUGUGCUCUUUGUUAUCUCAGGAGGAUAGUUUAAGCUAAGCCAUACAGCUUCAUAGCUGGAAGAGGCUUACAGCAAGCAGUCAGUCAUGUAUUGAAACCAAUGGAUAAUAACUUGUUGGUUUUGAAUUGUUUACUGUAUUCUAAUUGACAUAUUUAAUGAGUACUGAGUAAGGGCUGAGGCAUGUGUGGUAUUGCACUGCAGGGGCUCUGUGUUUCAGUACUUUCUUGCCCUUAUAACAAGUGCUGAAUGAAAGCAUGCUGUUGAUGUAUGGACAAUCUGUUAUUCAAGUGUCGACUGGUGUACCACGUAUAAUUUUAGGUCUAUCGGACAUUGUAAUGUAUUUUUAAUUGCCUGUAGGAUAUUUUCAAUCCAAUCAAUUCUCAGUGUUAGUUCACCAACAAGUAGCCAUAAGGAAAACAAUCAUCUCCCGUGAGCCUUGUGGGUUCUGCCUCUGGUGUCACUGAUCUAAAUCAACACAGUAGUCACUGAGCACCGAAAGCGUAGGUACAAAGCUCUGGAGGCUUUAUGGAAAUACAGUGGAAAAAAAAUAAAAGGUCGUGAUCAAAAGAACA
This 1871-nucleotide long non-coding RNA is filed under the name Anas platyrhynchos platyrhynchos (common mallard). Its description in RNAcentral is "lncRNA (ENSAPLG00000022041.1)". The record is from RNAcentral. Lineage: Eukaryota; Metazoa; Chordata; Aves; Anseriformes; Anatidae.